CAUGAGCCACCAUGCCCAGCCACUUCUACCAUUGCUCAUUCAUUCCAUGGAUUCAGUUUUAGGAGUCUAGCAAGCCCGUGCUAAAAUGCAUAUUCUCGAGGAGUUAUGGCAUCUUUAGCCAGCAAUAAAGAGGUAUCAUUUUGUGUGCGAUUGCCAGUCUACUGGGGUGACUUUCUAUAGCCCUGAGGUGUCCCCAGGAUCUUGGAGAAGGAGCUCAUGAUUCAUUAGUUAUGUCUGCAGUGGUCAUGGUACUGAAGUGCCACACAUUUGUCACCUUGUAUUAAACAAUUAUAAUGGGUAUAACAAUUUUGAAAUGCCUUCUGAUUUAUGUUCUCUUAUCAAGAAACCAUUUAUUUUCCCUAUAACCAUCUGCAUUAAGGCUGAGUGAAGAAGACAGAGUAUGGCUGAUAAGUAAGCCCCUCCUGAUGAGAGAGGAUGCAGAAGUCCUUCCAGAGAAGAAAUGACUCUGAGAGAGGGAAAAGGGCACAAAUAUCAGAACAACAGUACAGACUCUCUCCUGGACCAGCUACAGGAAGUGUGGGCCAGGAGACGUUGACUGCCCCAUCUCCAGGGAGGGACUGACAAGCGGAGAUAUCUGGCAUAAAAUGUGGUGUUUUUACAGAAAUCUUUAAAGAGAUGUAAAGGAUUAAAAUAAGUCAUGAAAAUAAGAAACUUCAGCUCUAAAGAAGAAUAAAAAGUAUCAAAGAUACAGAAUAAACCAGCAAGCAUGUCGGAACAACAGUUGGUAAUGCUACUCCUGCAAUUCUCUGGGACCACUCAGCAGACUUGGGGUUACCAGGUGCCCAGACACUGCUUCAAGGAGCCAAGGAACUCAGUGGCUUUUCUAUUAUGACCUGACCUGGGCUUCUCAGCAUGAAGACAGACAGAGCUGCAUUCCUGGGAUUUCGAAGAAGAAAAUAAGAUUCUGUCAAGCCUGCAUUCAAUCAAAAUAUCCUCCCCUAUGAUAAGGAGAACUAGAUGUCAACACAACUUUGAAAACUAGCGAGCAAGAGGAUGAGUUUAACUGACUUUAAAGUUAAGUGCCUGCAUGGGUUGGGAGAACAAACUUUUCAAAUGUCAGAAUCCCAGGAGUCGCAGUGAUUGACAGCACAAGGUAGCCUCUUCCCCAUCACAGGAUAAGCAGAUUUAGUCCCUUUGUUACAUGUGGACCAUGGUUUGCUGUGGCUCUCCGUCAUUUGCCUUAAAAUAGAGUUGUUCCUGGAGCUUUGCAGAAUGGGCCUGCCUCCCCAUCAGUCACACACUUAUGAACAUCUGUGACCUGUAAUGCCUUUACCAGGGGCUCAUCUUGAGACAGACAGACAGACUAAGGCACUGGAGACCCAGGUAUAAAGUUCCAGAGAUGACUUCAAGGUGGCUAGUCAACAACACAGCCAUUGUUGAGAUGAGACCAGCCCGAGAUCCAGUCGGACUGGGACCCAAGACAGCCGCCAGAACCAGACACACAGACACGGAAACCAACCAUUGGGCCUGGCAGAUAAUAGCAAGGAACUGAAACUUACCAGAUCACUGCAUCUAAACAAUGCUCGCCUAACCAACCACCUGCUUCCUGCUGACCAACUCCUCUUCCUUAACUCUCCCUAAUUCCUGUUCUCCUGCAUAUACAGGGUCUCACUUUGUCACCCAGGCUGGUGUG
Saimiri boliviensis boliviensis (Bolivian squirrel monkey) is the source of this 1654-nucleotide non-coding RNA. The record is from RefSeq and is a predicted model, not a curated record. NCBI's taxonomy places the organism in Eukaryota, Metazoa, Chordata, Mammalia, Primates, Cebidae.